GCCAAAAACCCUAAUAUAUAUAUAAACUCCUCUGCCCUCCGGUGUCACAAAGUCGUCUGCUCUACAGCUUUCAAACUCAUCUCCUCUCCGGCAUCCCUAGUCAUCUCCUGUACAGCUUCUCAACUUGUCUCCUCUCUGGCACUCAAAAUCUCGGCGAAGUCUCCAUAACUUGUCUUCAAAUCGUUGUUGCAUCGAACUAUUUGUCUUCAUCAGACUUCGAUACAAAGAUGUCUUGCACAAAACUGUGAGGCUGCUCGUAAAAGCCGAUUGUGGAAAAGUUAUGAUGAGGCGUGAUUUGAACAGAUUCCCUAACAGGCAACAAGUGGGUUUGUAUAUAGGUCGUGGCUUAGAAAGUUCUGAGAUGGCUGUAAACCCAGGAAUUGUAGUGUUUGAGAAUGGAGUAUGGACACUGGGUUGAAGAGCAAACAAGUCAAAUUUGUGAAAUGAGGUCUGCUUUGCAGGCCCAUAUUAAUGAUAUGGAGCUUCACAUACUAGUGGAGGGUGGCUUGAGCCAUUAUUUUAAACUUUUCCUCAUGAAAUCUAAUGGUGCAAAAGCCCAUGUUUUCUAUAUAAUGUCUGGCAUGUGGAAGAUAGCAGCUGAACGUUUUUUCUUUUGGAUUGGAGGAUUUCACCCUUCUGAGCUUCUUAAGAUACAAAGACAGUUUUCCAGUAGUUCCUGUUGCUUAUAAAUCACUACCUUUUGUCAUUUCAUGUUUUUGCAAUCAACAAAAAGUCCUCAACAAAAAGUCCUCACCAAGGUUUGUGCAAGAAUUGCUGCAUUUGAGAUGGAGUAUGGACACUGCGUUGAAGUGCAAACAAGGCAAAUUUGUGAACUGAGGUCUGCUUUGCAGGCCGAUAUUAGUGAUAUAGAGCUUCACAUAUGUUAGGUCUCGGGUGUAUGUAUCUUGCAAAAUGAAGAAGCAGCUAAGAAGAAUGGAGAACAGCAGCAGUAAGUUGCAUAGCAGCAAGGGAGAGGAAAAUAUUUUAGCUAGCAACAAAGGAUUGGAGCAAUUGGCAAACCAAAAUGUGCAUGGGCAUUUUGAGGCAAUAAGGACACGUGGCACUAUGAAGAGAGAGGGGGAAUUGGCGAGGAACAAAAAGGAUGGAAAUCAGUCUGAGAGUGGGAAGCAGAAAAUUAACUAAGUGUGGUUGAGUGAGAGAGCACAGGCCUCUCGAAAUGCCUGAGGAUCUCGGAUUUUCUUCUUCCAUUUGGGUAUUCAGUAUGUUGCUCUUAUUUUCAUUUUAUUAAUCAAAGUUGUAAUGAACGUUUCCAACUUUAUUAUGGAAUUUCAGUAAUGCAGAAAAGAGAUGUUUAUUUCCA
This is a long non-coding RNA of Mangifera indica (mango), 1321 nucleotides long. RefSeq lists it as uncharacterized. The record is from RefSeq and is a predicted model, not a curated record. NCBI's taxonomy places the organism in Eukaryota, Viridiplantae, Streptophyta, Magnoliopsida, Sapindales, Anacardiaceae. The transcript is spliced from 5 exons.